RNAcentral lists this unclassified non-coding RNA (345 nucleotides) under soil metagenome. Its description in RNAcentral is "partial contains 5.8S ribosomal RNA, internal transcribed spacer 2, and large subunit ribosomal RNA". The stretch from base 1 to 119 matches the Rfam family "5.8S ribosomal RNA", at positions 35 to 154 of the family's 154-position model. The record is from RNAcentral.
GAUGAAGAACGCAGCGAAAUGCGAUACGUAAUGUGAAUUGCAAAUUCAGUGAAUCAUCGAGUCUUUGAACGCACAUUGCGCCCCCUGGUAUUCCGGGGGGCAUGCCUGUCCGAGCGUCAUUGCUGCCCUCAAGCACGGCUUGUGUGUUGGGCCCCGUCCUCCGAUCCCGGGGGACGGGCCCGAAAGGCAGCGGCGGCACCGCGUCCGGUCCUCGAGCGUAUGGGGCUUUGUCACCCGCUCUGAAGGCCCGGCCGGCGCUUGCCGAUCAACCCAAAUUUUUAUCCAGGUUGACCUCGGAUCAGGUAGGGAUACCCGCUGAACUUAAGCAUAUCAAUAAGCGGAGGA